This 400-nucleotide unclassified non-coding RNA is filed under the name soil metagenome. RNAcentral describes it as "partial contains 5.8S ribosomal RNA, internal transcribed spacer 2, and large subunit ribosomal RNA". The stretch from base 1 to 122 matches the Rfam family "5.8S ribosomal RNA", at positions 35 to 154 of the family's 154-position model. The record is from RNAcentral.
GAUGAAGAACGCAGCGAAAUGCGAUACUUGGUGUGAAUUGCUGAAUCCCGUGAACCAUCGAGUCUUUGAACGCAAGUUGCGCCUCAAGCCAUUAGGUUGAGGGCACGUCUGCCUGGGCGUCACAUAUCGUUGCCUGAUGCCAGUUUCCUCGUGAUGGGUGACUGUGCAGGGCGAAUGAUGGCUUCCCGUGAGCAUUGUUGCCUCAUGGUUGGUUGAAAAUUGAGUCCUUGGUAGGGAGCGCCGUGAUAGAUGGUGGUUGAGUGACGAACGAGACCCAAUCAUGUGAGACCCCUACCGAAUUUGGCAUUCAUGACCCACAUGCGUCUUUGGAACGCUCAUGACGAGACCUCAGGUCAGGCGGGGCUACCCGCUGAGUUUAAGCAUAUCAAUAAGCGGAGGA